RNAcentral lists this long non-coding RNA (2969 nucleotides) under Nicotiana benthamiana. RNAcentral's name for it is "long non-coding RNA (NBEN_LNC013212)". Lineage: Eukaryota; Viridiplantae; Streptophyta; Magnoliopsida; Solanales; Solanaceae. The record is from RNAcentral.
AAACGUAUUUCCAAACUUAACCUAAAAUAGUAAAGUGUUCUAUUUAUAUUACACAUGAAAAAUCGGACAAAAAUAUCCCUGAGGGUCUGGCGCGGACCAUAUAAAAAUGACAUGCGGCCGUGUAAGGCACAUGGUCUUUUGAUAUGUGCUUCUGUACUUGGAGAUGCAGACAUCAUCAAAAUGUCACGCAUACGCAUAGGUUGAAUCAAGCGGACCGCGUGGAAAUGGUGCGCGUCCGUACAGGUAGGAUCAAGCGGACCACGUGGAAAUGGUGCGCGGACGCAUAAUAGAAUUCAUCCAAUGAUUGACUCUCUUAACUUUUACCAACGUGGACUGCACUGCAUUGGUGUGCGGCCGCGUGGGACUUUGCCUUGAAUUGCUGAGCCUCCAAUCUCUCAUCAGUGCGGAUCGCAUGGAAAUAGAUGCGGUUCGUGUGGAUCUUAUUCACUUUUGGUAACUCUCUGAACGUUUCUGCAUGGCCGCGUGGAAAAGCAGGGCAAACCGCAUAGGUGAGGCUUGACUUGGCAGCUUGCAGAACUCUCCUCUGGGGCCGCACAACAGAAAAAUUCGGUUCGCGCAGGUCACCUUUUUCCCUUUAUAAAUUUUCUUUUGACGCUUGGUAGGUUUCACUCCUCUUUUGAGCCUAUUUGUGAUAUGUAUCAUCUAGUUGCUCAAACCUGCAAUUAAGCACAACUUGUAUGCAAUUUAGGACUAAUCUAGAGCAAUUUAUGCACAAUGCUCAAGUAAGAAGGGGUAUAAGACAUGUAUAAUUCCUAGUUAUCAUAGAGUAGUGUGGAAGGGCCAGCCCUCACAUGCCCAAGUUUAGAGGGAACUCAAGGUCCCAAAGCAAGGCUCAUAGGUGGGGGGAAGAACAUAGAGUCUAAGAGAGAGUGUAAGUGCAUAGAGGGGGGAGUUAGGGAAAGCCAUGGCAGUAGUAAUCAUGCCCAGCAAUUGGGAAUGCUGGCACACCCCUGACUAGCUUGUUAGCCAAAUUUAGAGAGUCAUCAUCCAUUGAGGAUCCGGUUCAAACCUGAGAAACAAUUUGGAUGCUGCCAGGCCAUGAACCCUAACUCAAACACAUAGAAGGGAGUACGGGUAUGGGGGUGUUCAUAAGAAACAACAGAUGCAAAGAGAGGCUGACAUAUUUAAUACAGAAUGCAAACAACAAAGUAGAGAAUAUGGUAGUAACAGUAAAGUAAACAGAUAAGGAUAAGGUAGAAAUGUAAUUCAGGACAUACCAGUCUUAGGAAAUAAGAAGAGUAGAAACAGAAGACUUGAAAACCAAAUUGCAGGAAAACAGUCCGAGAACUAUUAGAAGAAAGUAGAGUAUUGAAAUUGAAAGUGUGCUCGAUUAUUGAGAUUAAAGAAGUAUUGAAUGUGUAAGUAAUGCAAGUUGAAAGUGCUGUUAAAGGUUAAAGGUGUGUAAGUGCAGAAGGGUCGUGCCCCUUUUAUAGUGUAGAAAAAAGUAAGAAAGGUAAGAAAAUAGUUCACAAUCAAUACAUAGAUACCCCCUUCAGUUAAGGGAGUUUUGAUUUCUAAUAGGUAGAAAAAGAAUAAGGAAAGAAAUUUGAUUAAAAACUUUUCAAAAUAGCACAAGAAGGGUAAAUAUACAGCAGUUAUUUAAGGAAAACAUUUAGUGGUACACGAUUUGUGAAAAAAAAGAAAAGGAAAUCAAUCAAAUAACAAGGAAAAUCAAAGUUAUGGGCUUUGUUUGAAUGAACAAGAUCAAGAAAAGGUAAAGAGGGUUCAAUUAAAGAAAAUCAAUAGUAAUCGGUCAGACCUUAUUAGAAGGAUUUCGAAAUCAAUUAAUUAGUUUUCAAAAACCCUUUUGAAGGAAGAAAUUCUCAAAUAUAAAUCACACAAAUAUCAUAUAAAAAGAGUUGUCAUGCUAAUUAGAAAAAUAAGCAUAGAAUGGUCCAAAGCCAUAAGCAAAGAAUUUAAAAUUCAAUUCAUAGUACUUUGGAGGAGUCUGAUAGUUCGGGGUUCCAAAGUAGAACCCUAAUCAAACUUGCCAAUGAAAUCCCCAAAUCCAAGGGUUUCAAAUCGAAUCAGAUAUAGAGGUUAGGGAAAGUCAUUGAAAUAGACUCAAAGGUCUAUUUCAUAGCCUCAUGAGAAACAGAACCGAUAUUAUAGCAGCUUUGAAACAACAAGGAAAGAAAACAGAUUUAGAGCAUGAAGAACAUGUUUUUGGAGAAAAGAGGAGAAAAAAUGAUACAAACUCAAAAAGUAGAGAUGAAACAUGCUUGGAAAAACUCGGACAAAGUCCUAUAAAGCAAAAAAAGAUUGAAGAAAUUAUCAGGAAACACAUAAAACCAGUAUCAUGUAGGAAAACAUGGUAGAGAUAAUCCUGCGAGACUAGUUUAGAGGCAUAGUAAAACUACUAAUGUAUAGAAGAACCACAUAUAAAGAAAAACAGAAUAUCGAGCACAUGUGUGGUAGAAAAGAAAACUUACGAGCAUAACACAGACAAACACACAUAAAGAAAAUGAUAGUAAGAAUCAAAAAUACAUUUUGAAGAAACCUUUUACAAACCCUAAAUCGACGAAAAAACGAUUUUGAAAGGACAAUUUGGGGAAAAUUUUAAAAAAGUUCAGUAGAACAUAGAUAUAUCAUAGAUCUAGGAAAAUAAGCAAGUAAAGAACCUCAGACAACUUAGGGCUUCGUAGAAAAUCCUAGAAAUGAGAAAGGCCUUGAGAAAAGUCAGAUCCUUUGUCGGAAAGGCUGAUAAUGCUUGAAUAUGCCGGAAUAAGGGACGGAUAGGCCAUGUGACCAAAGAUAUGAAGAGAACCAUCAAAGUCCGACCUCAAAUCAUCUAACAACCAAGGUGGAGUGGUGGAUAAGGGUGAGUGUAGACCAUCCAUAGCCUGAGAGGUCAUGGAUUCUGACGAAAGUAUUGUGAAGAGAGGUGGAAGGAGGCUAGGGUUCCGAAGAGGUUUGAGAGAGUUUUGGGAGAUGAAAGGAUUUCAAAA